RNAcentral lists this ribosomal RNA (165 nucleotides) under Triticum aestivum (bread wheat). RNAcentral's name for it is "partial small subunit ribosomal RNA". The record is from RNAcentral. Lineage: Eukaryota; Viridiplantae; Streptophyta; Magnoliopsida; Poales; Poaceae.
AUGAAAGGCAAGGAGUGUAAACCACGUACGAGCGUGCGCAGAAAGCGAAAUGUUUUGCAGCGAGUCAAGCGUAAUACGAUCAAAAGGAAAUGGGUCGAUGCUAAAACUCAAACAGUUCCCCAGAGGGGGCCCCGGGUUGAAAGAGCGAGCUACAUUCUUUCAUAG